UACGUAGGGGGCAAGCGUUGUCCGGAUUUAUUGGGCGUAAAGAGCGUGUAGGCGGCCAGACAGGUCAGCUGUGAAAACUCGAGGCUCAACCUCGAGACGUCGGUUGAAACCGUCUGGCUAGAGUCCGGAAGAGGAGAGUGGAAUUCCCGGUGUAGCGGUGAAAUGCGCAGAUAUCGGGAAGAACACCCGUGGCGAAGGCGGCCUUCUGGCUCAUAACUGACGCUGUAGCGCGAAAGCGUGGGGAGCGAACCGG
RNAcentral lists this ribosomal RNA (253 nucleotides) under uncultured bacterium. RNAcentral describes it as "partial 16S ribosomal RNA". It matches the Rfam family "Bacterial small subunit ribosomal RNA", at positions 524 to 776 of the family's 1533-position model. The record is from RNAcentral.